AAGAGGUCACACCCGUUCCCAUACCGAACACGGAAGUUAAGCUCUUCAGCGCCGAUGGUAGUCGGGGGUUUCCCCCUGUGAGAGUAGGACGCCGCCAAGCA
RNAcentral lists this ribosomal RNA (101 nucleotides) under Bacillus subtilis. The record is from RNAcentral. Lineage: Bacteria; Bacillati; Bacillota; Bacilli; Caryophanales; Bacillaceae.